GGAGACGAUUUUGACUUGAAAUUUCUUUUGAGUCAGAGAAAGAAGCAACUAACCCAUUACCACCACCGCCCAGUAGGUUCUCUGACUUCAUAUCCAAGUAUUCAUAUUUUACAUAUUUGUAAAAUAAAAUUAUUGAUGGAAUUUUAACGGAAAAAUCUUAUUGAUGUGCAAUUUUAUUGAUAAAUUGGCUAAAAAGCCUUCAUCAAAUGGUUGGCAAACUGGCUUGCAAUUUGCAUGUGCAUCUUCUAGAUAGAUUCCAAUGAGCUCAACUGUCAAAUUUCCCUAAUAUGUUGGAUCCUGUAAUUUUGGUGGAGACCUGGAGAAUUUAAGAACAAAAGCUUAUAUUAAUGGAGAAAUUGGCUUAUAUUAAUGGAGAAAUUGGUUAAAAAGUAGGGCAUGAAUGGUAGUGGGUCCAGUUCUUUGGUGAUGAUUUAUGAAUAUAUCUACUUUUUAGCUUGCAAGUUUGGUGUUUAGCUACAAUUUAAUUGAGAUUUAGGUAUUAGUAUUACCUGCUCCUCUAGUAAUCUUUUAGAUUGGCACAGCUGAGCUACUUGGCCUUAAUUAACAAGUGUAGAAAGGCAGACAUAAUCACAUUUGCUAUAACAUAUUCGAAGAAAGUUGAGAUUUCAUCAUAAAAUUAAUUGGCAAUUGAGGAGUAGUCCAACCUCUUAUAAGCCCUUACAAAGUUUAUUCUUUCACUGACGUGAGACUCUUUUACUUUCACAUUCUCAUACAUCGUUUCACAUAUGGCGAAUUUUCAAGCCAAACACGUGGACAACACUUAUUGGGUAACGUGGAACAUGUGUGGCCGUUGGGCUUCACACGUGAGUCAACCUAACCUGAUACCAUGAAGAAAGUUAAGGUCCUACCAUAAAAUUAGUUGGCAAUAUAAGAAGUAAUCAAACCUCUUAUAAGCUUUUACAAGGUUUUAUCUUUCUUUCACCGAUGUGAGAGUCUUUUACUUUCAUAGCCUUAUAAUAUGUUUUUUCCUUAUGCAGUCGAGUUCGACAUUUCUUUUGUCGUAAUUUUUUAUUAGUCCAUUUCUUUUUUCAUAAUUUUGAUUAGUCCAAAUUAAAAAUUACUUAAAAAAUUAUGAAACAAAUUUAGGGUGAGAUGGAACUUCUCCAUGCAUACUCACACUCAGUGAACUCAUUAUUCAUUUCCUAUGAUCCUAUCAUUAUGUCGUGUUUACCAGUACAAUCUUUAUUAAUUUAACCUAUUUGCAAAAAGGAGGAAAUUAUGUGCUACGUAAAAUGAAACACACAAAUAUAGGAGAUGAUUUUCACGUACAUUUUUAAAUUUAUGAUUAUCAGACGAAAUAUAUGAAACAAAAAUAACUGACAUAAUUUAACAGGGAUUUGUAAGAAAAGGAAGGAGUGUACGCUUAUCAUUUUUUUUCCCACACAAUAUAUAUAAGGCCCUUUAUGCAAAUGGAUCUCCAUUUUUUGGAAAAAAUACGGAUUAGGUGUGGGGUCUACUCUACAUCGAACUUCAACAAUCCGAACUGUUGAUUUUGUAAGUCUCGAUUCAUAGAUCAUCCUUACACAAAUUCAAUUCAAUCCAAAACUAUUUGGCUAUU
This 1579-nucleotide long non-coding RNA is filed under the name Malus domestica (apple). RNAcentral's name for it is "long non-coding RNA (MDOM_LNC016480)". Lineage: Eukaryota; Viridiplantae; Streptophyta; Magnoliopsida; Rosales; Rosaceae. The record is from RNAcentral.